GGCAGUGGCUUGCCUUGGCUGGGGCUUGGGGAGCUGUGGCAGGGAUGGCUGCUGCCAGCUCUCCUGCCUCCCUCUCCAGCUGCCCAGGCCCUGUGGGACAGGCCUUUGGCCUCUGGGCCCCACGGCAGCAGCGUGGGCUUGCAGUGGCAGAGUGGGGUUGGUGGGGCAGCUGUUCAGGGCUUCCCAGCACAGCCUUGUGUUCCACCCAGGCCAAAGACAUCUGCAGCCUGUCUGAGCCCCUCCUGGAGCUGCUGCGGGAUGGAGAUGGAGAGCUGGUGGCCAUGACCCUCUCCGUGUUCCGGAAUGUGCUCCGGGAUGGAGACAACAGCGAUGAGUUCAGCUCCACUGCCCCGAGGCUGACUGAGGCGCUGCGGCCAGUCUUUGACCACGUAAGGCUCUGUGCCCCCAGCCACAGGCACUGGGUGCUGCCAGGAAACUUGUGGAGUUUCAGGGCCUGGAGCAGGCAGUGCUGAGGUCUUUGUGUGUUCUUUGGCCCCAGGACAACAGCCACGUGCAGCUGCUGUCCAUUCGCCUCUUCCGAGAGGUGAUGGAGGUGCUGGCGGAAGAGGGAACAGAGCCCUGGGAGAUGCAGGUGCGCCAGAGCCUGGUCCCACUGUUCUUCCGCUGGCACGACGAGAACCAGCGCGUGGCAGAGGCCGCUCGGGAAGCGCUGCUCUGGGCUGCAAGCUUCCUCCACAGGAAGGACCUGGAGCAGCUGCUGAAGACAGAGCAGCCCUUCAGAUUCUGUGACUACCUGAUGGAAAAGGACAGGAGCCGAAGGGGCGAGCACCUGCAGCAGGCCCUGCCCUACCUGCAGAGCCCACAGGAGCCCCUGCGAGAGGCGGCCGUCAGGUUCAUGGGGGUCGCCGGCUGGCACAUGAGGGAGUGGCAGCAAGACCUGUGGCCCAUCCUCAAGGGCCUUACAGCCAUGAGCGACGGACGACUGCCCCUCCGUCUCCAACAUGAGAGCUGCACUCGUGGCCACUUACAGCCGGGCCAUGAGAACUCCACCUGCUCCGCUGAGACGACCAAUGUCCCUGCAACAGCCCCCCACCACAGCCCAGGGACCACUUCUCAGCGCGGCUGCAGCUCCAGCUGAUGCUGGGCCCAACUGAGCCAGCCCGCAAGGCCAGGCAGCUCCUGGCCUCUGCAGCCCCAGGGACGGCUCCCUCCUUCCAUUCCCUUCUCCUGACCCCACUUCAUCCCUCCCCUUGCCCUGAUGUUAAUAAACCCUGGC
This 1237-nucleotide long non-coding RNA is filed under the name Manacus vitellinus (golden-collared manakin). RNAcentral's name for it is "lncRNA (ENSMVIG00005009049.1)". Lineage: Eukaryota; Metazoa; Chordata; Aves; Passeriformes; Pipridae. The record is from RNAcentral.